UACGGGGGAUGCAAGCGUUAUCCGGAAUUAUUGGGCGUAAAGCGCCUGUAGGUUGUUUAUUAAGUCUGUUGUUAAAGACUAGGGCUUAACCCUAGAAAAGCAAUGGAAACUUGUAGACUAGAGUAUGGCAGGGGUAGAGGGAAUUUCUAGUGUAGCGGUGAAAUGCGUAGAUAUUAGAAAGAACACCAGUGGCGAAAGCGCUCUACUAGACCAUUACUGACACUCAGAGGCGAAAGCUAGGGUAGCAAAAGGGAUUAGAUACCCCUGUAGUCCUAGCCGUAAACGAUGGAUACUACAUGUUGUGCAAGCACAGUAUGGUAGCUAACGCGUUAAGUAUCCCGCCUGGGGAGUACGCUCGCAAGGGUG
Molecule: ribosomal RNA, 366 nt
Filed under: uncultured phototrophic eukaryote
Lineage: Eukaryota
Description: SSU rRNA
Rfam family: Bacterial small subunit ribosomal RNA
Source: RNAcentral